AUGAUUUCUAAGAGACCCUGGAAAGAAAUAUUGCUGCUAAUGAACUGAGGUGACAUAGGACAAUGCAGAGUUGAAGAGAGGAUAAUUUCUCCUUGUCUGCACAGAACGCAGCACACCUUCAGCCCUUCAAAGACGGGCAGCUUUGGCUGCACCCCUGGGCAGUUCCCUGGGUAUGCACAUUGAUGCAAUUAUAAUGUCCUCGCUAUGAGAUUUCCCACCACCCACGCUGGUGUUCACAUCUAGCGGCAUCACAGAGAGGUAGAACUAAAGGGAAGAAGUUGAUGGAUGCCAUCUGGUAUUGCAGAUGAUGACAGGUUUUCUCAGCUAUGAAGAGGAAAACUAACAGAUUCCUGAGUCAGCAACACAACCUGCUUGAGAAUGAGGACAACACAGAACAGAGCAUAACUGAGACAUGGGAAAAAUAGCUUUCAGAUCUAUAAAAAAGAAGAGGAAACAUACAUGGUUUAAGGUAGGAGAAACAAGCUAAAGAGGAAAAACAAAAAUGACCAUAGGAAGCCAGGCCAGAGUAAGAAGAGUCUGUUGUUUUUAACAGAGUUUCUCUAUAUUCCAGAAAUGUGUAUAGUACCCAUAUAUCCCUUGCAAGAUUGUUUUGGAGAAAUUGUUCCAACUAAAUAAAUAAAAAAUCAGUCAGAAAUGGUUCUGCUUGCAGAAUAUGGGGUGAAAAUUAGAGAUAACAUGCCUGAGAAUAACCAGAACAUAUGUUUAAAAAUAUAUUUAAAAAUACAUUUGAGUUCGUCAAAGAGAUAAUAUGAGAAAUAAUUAAAGAGUUAAGAUCAAGAAAGAAAGGUAACCUAGAUCAAUGAACUCAGAUUUCAGGGCCAAUUCUCCCAUCACAGCACCUGGCAUUUCUAGCAGAGGUGUGUGAAAAGCAGAGCAACGCAGCACCCAAAAUGAUCUUGAAACUACUCAGAUAGAGUAAUUCCUCGACUCAAAAAUAUACAGCAUAUUUCCGUGUCAUUUAGAACAAAAGCCACAAUUCUUAGAAUAGUCUACAAGGUUUAACAUAAGGGUGAUGUCUUAGACUUUUCAACAGGUCACAAGGCUGGGAACAUGGGAACUGGAUUUGAGGGCAGGCUAAAGUGGGAGAAAGCUAUAGUAACACGCAUAGUCUUUGGGUUGAGACACAAAAGGUCUACCCCUAGGAAUAAGCAGUAAAAAGUAAGAAAUCGGCUGAUCCUGGGAAGAACUGAAGACCACUUAAAAUUAAAUCUACAUGACUCUACAUCUGGGAUGCUGGAUUUCCUCACAGCCUUAGAGAGAAGUUGAGAACCAAACAAGUGAGCUUCAUUCUCUACUUCUGGGAGUUGGAUAAUACGUACUGCAGGAACAUAGAAUUAACAAGCAAAAAUCCAGAAGGCAGCAAAAACCAAGCAGUGUGGCCGAAUCAUUAGACCGGCGAGAGGUGAGAAGAAACAUACGAAAAAGGAAAAAAGAGGGGAAAAGACUGGAAACAUUAAUUGGGGUCAUAUUGAUAUCAUAUUGAGAAGUUUGAACAUUUUCCUAUAAACAUUGGUUCCCAAAUUAUUCAUAAAUUAGGAGCCCUUUUUUCCCAUCAGAAAUAAUUGUGAGCUUAGUGUGCUUAUAUUGCUCGGGCAGCAUCCUCCCCUUUGGGUAGCUAACCUUUCCACUUUCUAUUGGAAAAACCAAGCGACUUCAUUCCUCCCAUCCCUAAUUACCAACCCCAGUAUAUAUUCCAUGAUUAAAAAAGUAAACCAGACCCUUCUCUAGGCCUUUCCUUUUUUCUUUUCUUUUUUUUUUUUUUUCAAGCUGGAGCAGUAGUGAGGAAAAGUGCUCUCUUAAACUUGAAUUAGAAGCUAUAAGGACAAUGUAAGCUGGAACUCUUUGCAACCAUAUUUCCAACCAUAUAAAGAAAGCCUUCUACACUAGGCCAGUGAAGACUGAGAAGCAGAGCUCAAAUAA
This 1941-nucleotide long non-coding RNA is filed under the name Homo sapiens (human). RNAcentral's name for it is "HSALNT0315106". Lineage: Eukaryota; Metazoa; Chordata; Mammalia; Primates; Hominidae. The record is from RNAcentral.